CCUACGGGGAGCAGCAGUGAGGAAUAUUGGUCAAUGGGCGCGAGCCUGAACCAGCCAAGUAGCGUGAAGGAUGACUGCCCUACGGGUUGUAAACUUCUUUUAUAAAGGAAUAAAGUGAGGCACGUGCUCCGUUUUGUAUGUACUUUAUGAAUAAGGAUCGGCUAACUCCGUGCCAGCAGCCGCGGUAAUACGGAGGAUCCGAGCGUUAUCCGGAUUUAUUGGGUUUAAAGGGAGCGUAGAUGGGUGGUUAAGUCAGUUGUGAAAGUUUGCGGCUCAACAGUAAGAUUGCAAUUGAUACUGGCAGUCUUGAGUACAGUGGAGGUAGGCGGAAUUCGUGGUGUAGCGGUGAAAUGCUUAGAUAUCACGAAGAACUCCGAUUGCGAAGGCAGCUUACUAAACUGCCACUGACAUUGAUGCUCGAAAGUGUGGGUAUCAAACAGGAUUAGAUACCCGAGUAGUC
RNAcentral lists this ribosomal RNA (460 nucleotides) under uncultured bacterium. RNAcentral's name for it is "partial 16S ribosomal RNA". It matches the Rfam family "Bacterial small subunit ribosomal RNA", at positions 338 to 795 of the family's 1533-position model. The record is from RNAcentral.